ACGGAAGGCAGCAGUGAGGAAUAUUGGUCAAUGGACGCAAGUCUGAACCAGCCAUGCCGCGUGCAGGAAUAAGGCCCUAUGGGUCGUAAACUGCUCUUGUGGUGGAGCAAUAAGUCGUACGUGUACGGCGAUGAGAGUACAUCACGAAUAAGCAUCGGCUAACUCCGUGCCAGCAGCCGCGGUAAUACGGAGGAUGCAAGCGUUAUCCGGAUUUAUUGGGUUUAAAGGGUGCGUAGGCUGUGGUCCAAGUCAGGGGUGAAAGCCCGGAGCUCAACUCCGGAACUGCCUUUGAUACUGGAUUGCUGGAAUACGGAUGCCGUGGGAGGAAUGAGUAGUGUAGCGGUGAAAUGCAUAGAUAUUACUCAGAACACCGAUUGCGAAGGCAUCUCACGAAUCCGUCAUUGACGCUGAGGCACGAAAGCGUGGGGAUCAAACAGGAUUAGAUACCCUGGUA
This 454-nucleotide ribosomal RNA is filed under the name uncultured Oscillospiraceae bacterium. Its description in RNAcentral is "partial 16S ribosomal RNA". It matches the Rfam family "Bacterial small subunit ribosomal RNA", at positions 341 to 792 of the family's 1533-position model. The record is from RNAcentral. Lineage: Bacteria; Bacillati; Bacillota; Clostridia; Eubacteriales; Oscillospiraceae.